RNAcentral lists this ribosomal RNA (255 nucleotides) under uncultured bacterium. Its description in RNAcentral is "partial 16S ribosomal RNA". It matches the Rfam family "Bacterial small subunit ribosomal RNA", at positions 524 to 776 of the family's 1533-position model. The record is from RNAcentral.
UACGGAGGGUGCGAGCGUUUAUCCGGAAUCACUGGGUUUAAAGGGUGCGUAGGCGGUCUGAUAAGUCAGUUGUGAAAUUCCUCGGCUUAACCGAGUGGACUGCGAUUGAUACUGUCAGACUUGAAUCAGGUUGAGGUAGGCGGAAUGUGACAUGUAGCGGUGAAAUGCUUAGAUAUGUCAUAGAACACCGAUUGCGAAGGCAGCUUGCUGGGCUUAGAUUGACGCUGAGGCACGAAAGCGUGGGGAGCAAACAGG